GACAGAGGGGGCAAGCGUUGCCCGGAAUCACUGGGCGUAAAGGGCGCGUAGGCGGGACGCCAAGUCGGUCGUGAAAUCUCCGGGCUCAACCCGGAGGAGUCGGCCGAAACUGGUGUUCUUGAGGGAGGCAGAGGAGUCUGGAAUUCCCGGUGUAGCGGUGAAAUGUGUAGAGAUCGGGAGGAACACCGGUGGCGAAGGCGGGACUCUGGGCCUACCCUGACGCUGAGGCGCGAAGGCGUGGGGAGCAAACGGG
RNAcentral lists this ribosomal RNA (253 nucleotides) under uncultured bacterium. RNAcentral describes it as "partial 16S ribosomal RNA". It matches the Rfam family "Bacterial small subunit ribosomal RNA", at positions 524 to 776 of the family's 1533-position model. The record is from RNAcentral.